Molecule: long non-coding RNA, 1470 nt
Filed under: Homo sapiens (human)
Lineage: Eukaryota; Metazoa; Chordata; Mammalia; Primates; Hominidae
Description: CDKN2B and CDKN2A antisense cis and trans regulatory RNA 1, transcript variant 31 (CDKN2B-AS1)
Rfam family: CDKN2B antisense RNA 1 convserved region 3 (bases 541-684)
Source: RNAcentral
AGCUACAUCCGUCACCUGACACGGCCCUACCAGGAACAGCCGCGCUCCCGCGGAUUCUGGUGCUGCUCGCGUCCCCGCUCCCCUAUUCCCCUUAUUUUAUUCCUGGCUCCCCUCGUCGAAAGUCUUCCAUUCUUCAAACUAGAUUAUUUAAAAAUGAAAAAGGAAGAAAGGAAAGCGAGGUCAUCUCAUUGCUCUAUCCGCCAAUCAGGAGGCUGAAUGUCAGUUUUGAACUAAAAGCCGCUCCGCUCCUCUUCUAGAUUUGGAAAACAAGCGAAAUUAAACUAAACCGCUGCACGCCUCUGACGCGACAUCUGGACACGGCGCGGCGCUGGCGCUGCCGGAGCUGUCGACCCGGCCUGGCGCCGGACUAGGACUAUUUGCCACGACAUUUCAAAGGAUUCCAAGAGAGAAUAUUGGUGUCCAUGCUGUGAUGAUUCCUCAGCUCCUCUCAUCUGAUCUCCGUCCUGGCCCCCAUGACUUUCUUUGUGGUAGUUAGGGUGUGGUAUGUGCCACUGAGGCCCACACCUAUUGCUUGUCCCUUUUGAUGAGAAGAAUAAGCCUCAUUCUGAUUCAACAGCAGAGAUCAAAGAAAAGACUUCUGUUUUCUGGCCACCAGAUAUAUGUUAUCUGUGCUUAAAGAAUUGAAAAACACACAUCAAAGGAGAAUUUUCUUGGAAAGAGAGGGUUCAAGCAUCACUGUUAGGUGUGCUGGAAUCCUUUCCCGAGUCAGUACUGCUUUCUAGAAGAAAACCGGGGAGAUCUAUUUGGAAUGUAUCUAACUCCAAAGAAACCAUCAGAGGUAACAGUAGAGACGGGGUUUCACCAUGUUGGCCAGACUGGUCUUGAACUCUCGACCUCGUGAUUCGCCCGCCUCGGCCUCCCAAAGUGCUGGGAUUACAGGUGUGAGACACCACACCCGGCGGAUAGAGAGAAUUUUGACAGGUGGAGAACUUCAGUAGAGGAAGUGGCAGGAAUUUGGGAAUGAGGAGCACAGUGAUUAAACUGGGGCCAUUCAUAUGAGAGUUUAAGAACUCAGACCAGUGACUUAGUAUCUUACAGACAGCAAGUUGAACAUUGUGGGAUGCAUGAGCUAUUGAGGCCUUUGCAGCUUUCUGCUACAUGGAGGCUAGGGCCAGAGUCAAGAUUUAUGCUUUGCAGCACACUGGUCAGCUGUUUUUGCAAAUCAGAUUAAAUGAUUUUUAAAUGAGGCUGAGAGCAUGGGAGAUACUAAUGUGUGUUUCCUUGUGAGCUACUGCAUAAGUUAGGAAAUUGAAAUACAGAAAGAUGAAAAGUGAUUUGCCCAAGCAUAUAGAUCAAAGCUGUGGCAGAACCAGGACUGGAACCUAUAUCUCUCUACUAAUGGUUUUUUUAAAAAAAUAACCUUGUUUCAAAAAUAUUAAAAAGUCACAAGAAAGGUAAACAUGUGGAUAAACAAAAUGAAGAAAAUAAAAAUUAUCCAGUAAUAACAUA